AUGGAUAUAGGCAUAUAUAUAAUAGUACUUAUAUAAAUUUAUUAUAUAUAUAUUUUUUAUCAUAUAAAUUUUAAAUAAGAAUUAAUAUUUAAAAAUAAUUAACUUAAAAACAAAAAGAAAGGAGGAUGUACAAACAUGAUACACGCUGCACAGUAAUACUAUUGACACUCAACCCCCAACACAAAAUACCUAAUCUGAUCCUUCACUUCAAUUAGAAAUCCAUCUCUUCACCUUCACUUUCCAUGACCAAAGAAUCAAUACGACUCGUGACAGCAAUUUGUUUCUGAGAUUUAUCAUCGUCAUCGGACCCAACUGACUUGCUCUUUUUCCUCUUUAGUCGUGACCCACUAUCUUCUUUCGCAGGUUCCUCAUCAUCAAUCAUCUCCUCAAUCCUCACAGCAUGAAUAAGAAAAAAGCUGGUGAGUUUAAAACGGAUCCGGAUAUUAUCCGUAUCCGGAUAAUAUCCGACGGAUAUGGAUACAGAUCUUUUUAUUUUUAAAUUUGCGGAUACGGAUCCAGAUUCGGAUAUGAUUUUUAGUAGGCGGAUUCGGAUACGGAUAUGGGCAAAUCCGUAUCCAUUUUAUCCGUUUGACACCCCUAAGUUCAAGUAUAUUAGGGCAUCUCCAACUCCAAAAACCCUUAGCUAAAAUUGUAUAUGUGGAAUCUAGGUGGCACUUGCAGAUAUUAUCUAAAAAUUAUACAACUCCACCCCUUAGCAAAAAAUAUAGCCAACCAUGUUUGGUUGGCUAUAUUUGUAGAAUUAACUGAGCCAUUAGGUAUCAUUUUACACCAGCAAAAUUAUAGAUAAUCCGUUGGAGUAUAUACAUGUCCCCUUUUUAAAAGUGCUUCUACUUAUUUACACAAACGGGUAAAGAAAAGCAGAAGCCAGAAGCAUCUUCUGCGAAACAAACAAGUCCAUAUUGCCCUCGGAGAUGCUCUUAUUAUAAUAAAAAUAAGAAAAAAAUAUAAAAAUAUAAUUAUAAUUAACAUAUAAAUUAGUUAUGCUAAAUUACUUGCACAAUAAGAUUCAGAAUUAGCAAUGACAAGCCUAAUCCGCUACGAAUGCCAGAUUGUAUCGUUGCAUUAGGCCUCUCAAAACUGAGGCUUAAAGUUUUGGAAAUUUAUAAAACGUGCAGCGAAUUACUAAAUUGUUAUGUCUUUAUAUAUACUAGCCUUUAAUCCGUGCGAAACACGGGCGGUUAUAUAAUUCGUAAUUUAUUUUUUAUAAUUUAAAUUGUAACAUCAUUUUAUUAGUAUUUUAAUAUUAAUGGAUUGAAUUUUAAUUAAAUUAUAUUAACCAACAGAUAUAUUGUCGUGUAAUAAUAGAUUAGAGUUAGAAAAAAUAUGUAAUUAUUCGUGUUUGUAUUGAAAAAAAAUAUUCAAAAUUAUGAAUUUAUAAUUUUAUUUUAUCGUCAUUCUUGUAUUUAUUAUGAGAUAGAUUUUUAGUGUUGUAGUUUAUUUUAAACUUGUACUUAUAAGAGAUAGAUUUUUAGUCUUGUAAUUGCUUAAGACUUGUACCUAUUAAGAGAUAGAUUUCUGGUGUGAUCCUUUUUUUUAGCAGGAUAAUAAUAUAAGAAUGACCACAAAACAUGACUAGACCAAAAAAACAUGAACAAAAUUUAGGAUUACAAAUUAUACCCAUGUUGGCUUAUUAAAGUAUAGUAUAGACAAUUUAUAAAAUAUAUUUUAUUAAUUUAUUAUUAAAAAAUAAAUUUAAAAUUGAUAUACCUUGAUAAUCUUAUUUUUCUUUUCAUGUAUUAUUUUAAGAGGUAUAUUUUUCAUUAUGUAAUUAUUUGAUUAAUCUUGUGAUUAAAUUUUUGAUUCUUUUAAAAUAUUUGUAAGAAUUGAUUGGAUUCUAAUACUAAUUAUUAUUUUAAUUUUAAUUUGUCAACUUUUAUGUUAGUAAAGUUUUAAGGAUGCAUUUUAUUUUAUAAUUUAUAUGUUUAAUGUAUAUUAUAAUUUUGCACUAAUGUGUUUUUGUAUUAUGUUUAUUUCAUAAUUUCAUUUUCAAUUCAUUCUAGAAAUUUUUUCAAAUACAAUCAUAUUUUUAAAUCUUUUUCCCAGAACUUUUCUCUCUCUCUCUCUCACACACACAUAUUCAAAUAUUAAUAAAUAAAUUUAUUGAGGAUAAGUAUAUUAUUUCUGAGGUGAGAAGACGGUAUUCAUUGGACGAGUUUUUUUUAUCUUAUCUAAAUUACAUUUAUAAAUCACACACACUUAUAGGGGCCUACCCUCUACGGGUAGGGGUGAGAAAGAAACCGAGUUAAAAUCGAAACGCAACCGAAAUUAUUAAAAACCGACAAAUAUCAAAUCGCAUAAAACUGAAUCGAAUCGAAACCGAAAAUUUAAAAACCGAACCGAUUAUAAUGAUUACGGGUUCAGUUUUAGGUUAGAACCGAACCGAAAAAACCGAACCGAUUAUAAAUAAAUAAAUAAAUAAAUAUAUAUAUAUAUAUAUAUAUAUAUAUAUAAUUUAAACUUAGACAGUAUUUUAUUAGUAUUUUAGUGUUAAUGAAUUAAAUUUUAAUUAAAUUAUAUUAAUCAACUGAUUAUAUUUCUCACGAAAAUUUGGUUUUUACAAUUUAUUAUCUAUUUAUAAAUAUAUUUUUGUUAUUAAUAUGUGAUAAUUUAUUAUUCAAUUAAUUUUUUAUAUAUAUAUAUAUAUAUAUAUAUAUAUAUAUAUAUAUAAAAAUUCUUGUUAAAAGUGAUAUUCAAAAUUGGAUACUUUAUUGGCCAUGAGAGACCAAGAAGUCUUCCAGAAAGUUAUCGAAGAAUUGAACACAAACCCAUUUAUCUCACACACUUUCUUCUGCUCUCCUGCGAAAGCCCAUUUUAUUCUUAUAUAUUAGUAAACCUUUUUCAUCUCUCCGUUCAAAUCCCCCUAAAACCCCCUCUCAAAGCCCUAAUUUUUUUGCCUAAACGCAUCAAAUUCAGUUGCCCCUUGACCCAAUAAGUGGCCCUCUUCAAAAUCCGCCUUAAAGGGUUGUAAUUCUAUUGAUAGUAGUGACAAUGGCUUCAUUCUUGACGGAAUUUUCGUGUGUCAUAACAGUGUUACCACCACCAUUUGUCGUCUUUAUCAAAAUCUUGUGAAGGGCAAUGAUUGAAUUAAAUUUUGUAUUAUUAUAGAUCUAGCUACUAAUAUCAAUAUGGACUCCUUAAUAAUAUCAAAUUUAAUUUGAGAAAAUUUGAAAGCCUAGCAGUUAUAGAUAUGAGAAAGAGAGAAAGAACAAAUCGUGUUUUUGGUGCUAGUACAUGCCGCCUGCAUUCAAGCUUUUGUGUGGAUAUGUUUGGAGUAUAACUUGCAUGUUGACAAAAUACGUGAUGAUUGGUUAAAGGUAAGAUUUUCAUUAGCAUCCAAAUCAUAAAAUUUCUCAAGGUAAACAUUUAAAUUACAAAUUAAAUAUUGUUUUUCGCCUGAGUCCUGUGAUGUAUUUCAAAAAUUCUGAAUUUUCACAUUUUAAAUUACUGCUUCUGUUGUACUUUAUGUCUCAAAAUCCAGCACUAUGAAGACUAUAUAUGCACUGCAAACAUGUUCUAUUAGCAACACAUAUAUGAUGAUCUCCUGUCUUCAAGAAAAUAUUGAUUUUCAUAUAAAUUUUUCUUAUACAUAUAUAGAUAUUAUAAUUUACUUUUUAAACACUAUAUAGACUUUUAGAAUAGAGAAACUACAAAUAUAAAUAAAUAUUUUAAAUGAGAAAGUAUGUGGGAAUAAGCUAAGUUCGUAAAAUAAUGGAUAUUAAAUUUCUUAUAUAUCCAUAUAACUUUGUUUUAUAAUUAGGUUAUUGGAGAACAAUUUAUAAUUUUAGCACGAAUUUAUGAAAGUCAUUUUUUUUCUUGAUGAAUCUGUACAUUUAUCUUUAACACAGAUGUCUAUAUUAAGUGCGAAAAUUUUGAAUUUCUUUAUUUUCACCAUGACCUUAUUUAUACAUCGUCUGUGGAUAUUCAAAUGGGCCUAAAUUUUUUCUCGGCCCAAUACAGGAUCUUGAGCCAUCUAGAUACUUCUAUAUCCAUCGUCAAGAUCUAUAUAUCUCAAUAAGCAUAUACACAUCUACAAACUAUAUCUACAUAUACAUAAAAACACACAUCGUGUGUAUAUAUCAUAUUUUUAUAUAAAUAAAUAAAUAAAUAUAUAUAUAUAUAUAUAUAUAUAUAUAUAAUUUAAACUUAGACAGUAUUUUAUUAGUAUUUUAGUGUUAAUGAAUUAAAUUUUAAUUAAAUUAUAUUAAUCAACUGAUUAUAUUUCUCACGAAAAUUUGGUUUUUACAAUUUAUUAUCUAUUUAUAAAUAUAUUUUUGUUAUUAAUAUGUGAUAAUUUAUUAUUCAAUUAAUUUUAAAUCAGAUUUUUCAUAUUUCGUAUAUCUCCAUAUGUAUGAAAAAAAUAUUUGUCGGGUAACAAAUUAGAGUUAGAAAAGGUUACGUAAGAGUUUGUGUUGAUUAAUUUGAGAAAAUUUGAAAGCCUAGCAGUUAUAGAUAUGAGAAAGAGAGAAAGAACAAAUCGUGUUUUUGGUGCUAGUACAUGCCGCCUGCAUUCAAGCUUUUGUGUGGAUAUGUUUGGAGUAUAACUUGCAUGUUGACAAAAUACGUGAUGAUUGGUUAAAGGUAAGAUUUUCAUUAGCAUCCAAAUCAUAAAAUUUCUCAAGGUAAACAUUUAAAUUACAAAUUAAAUAUUGUUUUUCGCCUGAGUCCUGUGAUGUAUUUCAAAAAUUCUGAAUUUUCACAUUUUAAAUUACUGCUUCUGUUGUACUUUAUGUCUCAAAAUCCAGCACUAUGAAGACUAUAUAUGCACUGCAAACAUGUUCUAUUAGCAACACAUAUAUGAUGAUCUCCUGUCUUCAAGAAAAUAUUGAUUUUCAUAUAAAUUUUUCUUAUACAUAUAUAGAUAUUAUAAUUUACUUUUUAAACACUAUAUAGACUUUUAGAAUAGAGAAACUACAAAUAUAAAUAAAUAUUUUAAAUGAGAAAGUAUGUGGGAAUAAGCUAAGUUCGUAAAAUAAUGGAUAUUAAAUUUCUUAUAUAUCCAUAUAACUUUGUUUUAUAAUUAGGUUAUUGGAGAACAAUUUAUAAUUUUAGCACGAAUUUAUGAAAGUCAUUUUUUUUCUUGAUGAAUCUGUACAUUUAUCUUUAACACAGAUGUCUAUAUUAAGUGCGAAAAUUUUGAAUUUCUUUAUUUUCACCAUGACCUUAUUUAUACAUCGUCUGUGGAUAUUCAAAUGGGCCUAAAUUUUUUCUCGGCCCAAUACAGGAUCUUGAGCCAUCUAGAUACUUCUAUAUCCAUCGUCAAGAUCUAUAUAUCUCAAUAAGCAUAUACACAUCUACAAACUAUAUCUACAUAUACAUAAAAACACACAUCGUGUGUAUAUAUCAUAUUUUUACUAGAUCUAGAACCUUUCAAUUCUAAUUUCGAUCACUAUAUAGACCUUCAUAUACUGCUAUUUGUUCGAUAACAGAUCAUCGAUCAUAUUUCUCGUCCACAAUCGUAAAUGAAAAAAAAGCGUGAUAAAAUUAUCUUGGACGGGGUCAUCUUGCUAUCUUGUAAGUAAUCCCUCUUCUAUUUUGUAUGUAAUUAGUUUAGAUCUUAUUUUAUCCAGAGUUAAAUUAUAACGAGUUCACGCUGCUUUAACGAUAUAUCAAUUUACAAGUGGCCAUAUUUUAUCUUUGAUAAUCGUGCGAUUGUUGUAAAUUAUUUCAUUUUUAAUCAUUUUUUUCCUGAAUUGAUUUGGUUUAAUUUGAAAUAUAUUUAGUCGUCAAUAAUUGUUUAAAUUACGUUAUUAUUGUAAUUGACAACUGAUUGAUUUAAAUAUUUUUUUUAUCCUUUAUCACACAGGUAAAACUAACACUAAUAUAAGUCAACUUUAUACUCAAACAAUGAAGGAGGUGCUUCAAUUUUCAGGUAAUUAAUGUUGAUCAACUUAUUGUUACUGCUAAAAGUAUCUACCACCAUAAAAUUGAAGGACUUUCGUUAUGAUUUCUUGGAAUAGUUGGUCUAACCAUCCAAUUUUGUUUUUUCUUCCGUAUAAAGUGGAUAAACACUGAAAGUGGACAUGGCCCUAAUGCUUCACUCCCCGUCGAUACAAGAUAAUUUUUAUAACACGAGUAUCAAUAAUAUAUCUGGCUUUGCAUAUGGCUUGAAAAUUGUUUUAUGUGAUUCUAAUGUGCGAUGAUUCCUCUUGAACUUUGUAGACAAGCGGGAACGAGGAACAUGGGUAAGAGAUGUGGCGAGUGGAGGGAAGAUAUCUCGAGGCAUUCCAAUGAUGCCACAGCAGUAUUACCCAUCUCCAUGCCUGGCUUUGAGAAUCCUGAAAGAAGUUCACAAAUGAGGAGCGAGGUGACAAAUAUUAACCAUACGGGACCUAUUCGAACUCCACCAAGCAUAUCAGAUCAGAUGCGAAGAUACCAUAGUCAUCAUGUCCAAAAAACAUACAUGCAUGCUCACAUGAACAAGGCAAAACAUAUAAGAGUUGGAGAUGAAGCUACUCCAUUACCAACAAAUACUCUGUAUGUUGGUCUGCUUAUAGAAUAAAACAAUGGACCUCGGGACGCGUUUAGAUAGACCUAGUAGGGUCAAUGUGGGACCUAGUAGAACCAGACUUAGUUCUAGUUGUAGCUAUUGAUCUAUCGAGAGUCUUGUGAUGUUUUAGUGAGUGGCGCAAGGCUAGACGAUGACCCUUAGUGAUGGUUUCUUAUGAUUUGUAUUUAAAUUUUCGUUUAAUAAUAUAUGUUUGUAUUUAAAUUUU
This 6734-nucleotide long non-coding RNA is filed under the name Daucus carota (carrot). RNAcentral describes it as "long non-coding RNA (DCAR_LNC002510)". The record is from RNAcentral. Lineage: Eukaryota; Viridiplantae; Streptophyta; Magnoliopsida; Apiales; Apiaceae.